UACAGAGGGUGCGAGCGUUGUUCGGAAUUACUGGGCGUAAAGCGCACGUAGGCGGAUUGUUAAGUCGGGGGUGAAAUCCUGGAGCUCAACUCCAGAAUUGCCUUCGAUACUGGCUUUCUAGAGGCUGGAAGAGGUUAGUGGAAUUCCCAGUGUAGAGGUGAAAUUCGUAGAUAUUGGGAAGAACACCAGUGGCGAAGGCGGCUAACUGGUCCAGAUCUGACGCUGAGGUGCGAAAGCGUGGGGAGCAAACAGG
RNAcentral lists this ribosomal RNA (253 nucleotides) under uncultured bacterium. RNAcentral's name for it is "partial 16S ribosomal RNA". It matches the Rfam family "Bacterial small subunit ribosomal RNA", at positions 524 to 776 of the family's 1533-position model. The record is from RNAcentral.